UACGAGGGGUGCAAGCGUUAUCCGGAAUUAUUGGGCGUAAAGAGUACGUAGGUGGCUGCGUAAGCGCAAGGUAAAAGACCGAGGCUCGACUUCGGUGAGCCUUGUGAACUGCGUGGCUUGAGUGCAGGAGAGGAAAGCGGAAUUCCUAGUGUAGCGGUGAAAUGCGUAGAUAUUAGGAGGAACAUCAGUGGCGAAGGCGGCUUUCUGGACUGUAACUGACGCUGAGGCGCGAAAGCGUGGGUAGCAAACA
RNAcentral lists this ribosomal RNA (250 nucleotides) under uncultured prokaryote. RNAcentral describes it as "partial 16S ribosomal RNA". It matches the Rfam family "Bacterial small subunit ribosomal RNA", at positions 524 to 774 of the family's 1533-position model. The record is from RNAcentral.